This 805-nucleotide ribosomal RNA is filed under the name uncultured Campylobacterota bacterium. RNAcentral's name for it is "bacterial SSU rRNA". It matches the Rfam family "Bacterial small subunit ribosomal RNA", at positions 619 to 1424 of the family's 1533-position model. The record is from RNAcentral. Lineage: Bacteria; Pseudomonadati; Campylobacterota.
AACUGCAUCCAAAACUAUUAGGCUAGAGUGUGGGAGAGGAAGAUGGAAUUAGUUGUGUAGGGGUAAAAUCCGUAGAGAUAACUAGGAAUACCAAAAGCGAAGGCAAUCUUCUGGAACAUUACUGACGCUGAGGCGCGAAAGCGUGGGGAGCAAACAGGAUUAGAUACCCUGGUAGUCCACGCCCUAAACGAUGAAUGUUAGUCGUCGGGUAGCUAGUCUAUUCGGUGAUGCAGCUAACGCAUUAAACAUUCCGCCUGGGGAGUACGGUCGCAAGAUUAAAACUCAAAGGAAUAGACGGGGACCCGCACAAGUGGUGGAGCAUGUGGUUUAAUUCGAAGAUACGCGAAGAACCUUACCUAGCCUUGACAUAUAUUAGAACUCAGCAGAGAUGCAGAGGUGCCUUCGGGAGCUUUUAUACAGGUGCUGCACGGCUGUCGUCAGCUCGUGUCGUGAGAUGUUGGGUUAAGUCCCGCAACGAGCGCAACCCUCGUCACUAGUUACUAACGGUUCGGCCGAGGACUCUAGUGAGACUGCCUUCGUAAGGAGGAGGAAGGUGAGGACGACGUCAAGUCAUCAUGGCCCUUACGGCUAGGGCAACACACGUGCUACAAUGGCCAGGACAGUGAGACGCAAUACCGCGAGGUGGAGCAAAUCUAUAAACCUGGCCUCAGUUCGGAUUGUAGUCUGCAACUCGACUACAUGAAGCUGGAAUCACUAGUAAUCGUAGAUCAGCUAUGCUACGGUGAAUACGUUCCCGGGUCUUGUACUCACCGCCCGUCACACCAUGGGAGUUGAUUUCACCCGA